CUUUGUCGACUUCCAUUUCAGGAAAUUUAGAGUGUCUAGCUCGCUGGAGUUGACUGAAGCUCAGAUGGCUUCUACUCAAAGAAUUGUCAAAUCAUUUAAGAAACUUUACAGUUAUCUUCAUGGUGUCGAGAGAUUAAAUAUCUCAUCGUUCAAGAUAAAAGUUUGCGGCACCCCUUCUUGUUCAGAGACAAGCGCGAGGCGUGACUGUGGUAUCUAUGCAAUGAGGUUUAUUUGGAUAUUCAAGGCUAAUUUUUACCCAGAUGUAUUCAAGG
Lolium rigidum is the source of this 272-nucleotide long non-coding RNA. RefSeq lists it as uncharacterized. The transcript has 3 exons. NCBI's taxonomy places the organism in Eukaryota, Viridiplantae, Streptophyta, Magnoliopsida, Poales, Poaceae. The record is from RefSeq and is a predicted model, not a curated record.